AGCGUAGGCGGACAUUUAAGUCAGAGGUGAAAUCCCGGAGCUUAACUUCGGAACUGCCUUUGAUACUGGGUGUCUUGAGUGUGAGAGAGGUAUGUGGAACUCCGAGUGUAGAGGUGAAAUUCGUAGAUAUUCGGAAGAACACCAGUGGCGAAGGCGACAUACUGGCUCAUUACUGACGCUGAGGCUCGAAAGCGUGGGGAGCAAACA
Molecule: ribosomal RNA, 207 nt
Filed under: uncultured bacterium
Lineage: Bacteria
Description: partial 16S ribosomal RNA
Rfam family: Bacterial small subunit ribosomal RNA
Source: RNAcentral